GAUGAACGCUGGCGGCGUGCUUAACACAUGCAAGUCGAACGGGAAACCUUUUAUUGAAGCUUCGGCAGAUUUAGCUGGUUUCUAGUGGCGGACGGGUGAGUAACGCGUGGGUAACCUGCCUUACACAGGGGGAUAACAACCAGAAAUGGUUGCUAAUACCGCAUAAGCGCACAGGACCGCAUGGUCCGGUGUGAAAAACUCCGGUGGUAUAAGAUGGACCCGCGUUGGAUUAGCUAGUUGGCAGGGUAACGGCCUACCAAGGCGACGAUCCAUAGCCGGCCUGAGAGGGUGAACGGCCACAUUGGGACUGAGACACGGCCCAGACUCCUACGGGAGGCAGCAGUGGGGAAUAUUGCACAAUGGGGGAAACCCUGAUGCAGCGACGCCGCGUGAAGGAAGAAGUAUCUCGGUAUGUAAACUUCUAUCAGCAGGGAAGAUAGUGACGGUACCUGACUAAGAAGCCCCGGCUAACUACGUG
RNAcentral lists this ribosomal RNA (478 nucleotides) under uncultured bacterium. RNAcentral describes it as "partial 16S ribosomal RNA". It matches the Rfam family "Bacterial small subunit ribosomal RNA", at positions 28 to 507 of the family's 1533-position model. The record is from RNAcentral.